RNAcentral lists this long non-coding RNA (571 nucleotides) under Rattus norvegicus (Norway rat). Its description in RNAcentral is "long non-coding RNA NONRATT014901". The record is from RNAcentral. Lineage: Eukaryota; Metazoa; Chordata; Mammalia; Rodentia; Muridae.
CCGGAGGCUGAUUGCCUGCAUGGGCCACUCGUAAAGGGGCCAGCAGCUUCUCAGCUUCUAUGGAUGCUGCAGGUAUGUGCUAGCUGCCAGAGUGACUAGUGAGACACGCUGGUAAUGGGACAAAGAAUGAUGCUGACCCAUGAGCUUGCUGAGUACCCUGACAAUGAUGACAAGAAAGCUGUUUUGGACGUUUGUUUCUGAUACACAUUUGCUUGCCUAUAUCCCAGACUGGACAAUCUGCCUUGAUUGAAACUUUUAGACCUUGUUGGACAGAGAACAUGAAGACUGUACAGAACUUCAGAAUAUUAAUCAAAUAAAAGAAGCUAUAAUGACCCUUCUCUUUCCUUUAAUGUGACCAGUUAUUCUGACUUAAUGAUGGACUGUUCUGGAAAUCUAUCCAAUAUUAGAAAUAACAGUUUUCAUUUGGAAGAUGGGUUCUGGAUAUUUUCAGAGACAUUGAAAAAUUCACAAUUGUCUUGUAUGAAGUUCCAUUUGCAAUGGAUAAAAUUGAAACAGGAUCUAGAUUUUGAACAAAUGUUAGUGCAUGUAUUAAAACUCCUAAUCUUUUAUU